Molecule: non-coding RNA, 99 nt
Filed under: Vogesella sp. LIG4
Lineage: Bacteria; Pseudomonadati; Pseudomonadota; Betaproteobacteria; Neisseriales; Chromobacteriaceae
Also listed under: 1 other name
Description: Glycine riboswitch aptamer
Rfam family: Glycine riboswitch aptamer
About the family: This family represents the bacterial glycine riboswitch.
Source: Rfam by way of RNAcentral
GCCAUUCACGCAGGAGAGCGCAGCUAGCCGAUAGGCCGGUUGCCGCCGAAGGCGCAAGUGCACCCGCAAUCGCUCAGGCAAAAGGACUGCAAGAAUCCG